UACAGAGGGUGCGAGCGUUGUUCGGAAUUACUGGGCGUAAAGCGCGCGCAGGCGGCUUGUUAAGUCCGCGGGUCAAAUGCCGGGGCUCAACCCCGAGCGUGCCCGGGAUACUGGCGGGCUGGAGACAGGUAGAGGCGAGCGGAAUUCCGGGUGUAGCGGUGGAAUGCGUAGAGAUCCGGAAGAACACCAGAGGCGAAGGCGGCUCGCUGGGCCUGGUCUGACGCUGAGGCGCGAAAGCGUGGGGAGCGAACAGG
This 254-nucleotide unclassified non-coding RNA is filed under the name uncultured Gemmatimonadota bacterium. Its description in RNAcentral is "uncultured Gemmatimonadetes bacterium contains 16S-23S intergenic spacer region". It matches the Rfam family "Bacterial small subunit ribosomal RNA", at positions 524 to 776 of the family's 1533-position model. Lineage: Bacteria; Pseudomonadati; Gemmatimonadota. The record is from RNAcentral.